CGACGUAUGGGGCGAGCGUUACUCGGAAUCACUGGGCGUAAAGGGCACGCAGGCGGGCUAUGGCAGUUGGAUGUUUAAUCCCUGGGCUCAACCUAGGGGGGGCAUCCAAGACGCAUAGUCUAGGGGACCUUAGGGGAGAGCGGAAUUCUCGGAGUAGCGGUGGAAUGCGUAGAUACCGAGAGGAACACCAGUGGCGAAGGCGGCUCUCUGGGGGGUUCCCGACGCUCAGGUGCGAAAGCGUGGGGAGCAAACAGGAUUAGAAACCCUAGUAGUCC
RNAcentral lists this ribosomal RNA (275 nucleotides) under uncultured bacterium. RNAcentral's name for it is "partial 16S ribosomal RNA". It matches the Rfam family "Bacterial small subunit ribosomal RNA", at positions 523 to 796 of the family's 1533-position model. The record is from RNAcentral.